This is a long non-coding RNA of Felis catus (domestic cat), 920 nucleotides long. RefSeq lists it as uncharacterized. Lineage: Eukaryota; Metazoa; Chordata; Mammalia; Carnivora; Felidae. The transcript is spliced from 3 exons. The record is from RefSeq and is a predicted model, not a curated record.
UCUUUAACUUUUUCCAUUUACAAUGAAUUGGAAACACAAAUAGCCAAUAACUGUCACUGCCUUGAAAGUGAAAGUGAAAUCCUUGUUUGUGUGGUCUCUGUAGACAUUUCAUGCCAAAGGUGGUGAUUUCUCCAAGGUUCUUGUUAUACCCAUAACCUCAAAUGCUUUGGGAUGAAACUCUGCUCAGAGCAAAAAUGGCAGAAUUCAGAAGGAAUUUGUGGAAGUGGAGCUUCUGUUACUCGUAAUUGAAGAAAGACUAAUUCCCCCCAUGUAAUUGAGAAAGAGGCCACACAUCUUUGAAGAAUAUACAAUAUAAGUUCUAACACAUGGAAGCAUUUUCCCUGGGCCAAAAAAGAAAAUAAAAUGCUAUAGAGGACAAAGUUAUUUGUUUUACACUCCAACUCCCUUAUGCAACAUGGUAAGCCACUUACAAUGGGAACAAUGGGCCAGAUUAAUCCUACAGAUUUCAUUUGUUUGGUCAAAGUAGCAUUUAAAACUUUUUCAAUUGGAAAAGAUUCUCAGUGGGCAUACACUUUCCAGUUUACACAUUCUUCAUCUCUGUUUAUAUCAUUUUGCACUUCAGAUUCACCCGAUUUAUAUUGCUUGCCUCUGUAGAUAUUUGAAAUCAGAAUAUUGCAUUCUUUCUCAUUAUAUCAUAAGAGAAUAAUAGAAUUACAUUGGUGCUCUUAGCAAUAGUAAGGAUAGAAGAAAGCUGUUUUGUUUUAAUUGAAUAAUAAUACUGGUCAUGGUUUAAUAAGUACAGAUGAUUUACACACAUUAAAAAAAAAGCCCAAAACAUUCCUCACAAUAACCAUAUAAGAAAGAUGCUUUUAUCUCUAUUUCACAGGUGAAGAAAUUGAAGUUCAUUGGGGUUAGAACAACUUUCCACUGACAUAGAGUUUAUAAGGGACAGACCCGGA